UUACAAUGGAGAGUUUGAUCCUGGCUCAGGAUGAACGCUAGCGGCAGGCUUAAUACAUGCAAGUCGAACGGUAACAUGAGUAGC
This 84-nucleotide ribosomal RNA is filed under the name Bacteroidota bacterium. RNAcentral's name for it is "Bacteroidetes bacterium (soil metagenome) partial 16S ribosomal RNA". It matches the Rfam family "Bacterial small subunit ribosomal RNA", at positions 1 to 82 of the family's 1533-position model. The record is from RNAcentral. Lineage: Bacteria; Pseudomonadati; Bacteroidota.